UGGGGAAUAUUGCACAAUGGGCGAAAGCCUGAUGCAGCGACGCCGCGUGAGGGAUGACGGCCCUCGGGUUGUAAACCUCUUUCGGCAGGGACGAAGCGCAAGUGACGGUACCUGCAGAAGAAGUCCCGGCUAACUACGUGCCAGCAGCCGCGGUAAGACGUAGGGGACGAGCGUUGUCCGGAUUCAUUGGGCGUAAAGCGCGCGUAGGCGGCUAUGCAAGUCGGUUGUGAAAUCCCGGGGCUCAACCCCGGGACUGCGUCCGAUACUGCAUGGCUAGAGGUAGGUAGGGGAGAUCGGAAUUCCUGGUGUAGCGGUGAAAUGCGCAGAUAUCAGGAGGAACACCGGUGGCGAAGGCGGAUCUCUGGGCCUUACCUGACGCUCAGGCGCGAAAGCUAGGGGAGCGAACAGGAUUAGAUACCCCCGUAGUCC
RNAcentral lists this ribosomal RNA (429 nucleotides) under uncultured bacterium. RNAcentral describes it as "bacterial SSU rRNA". It matches the Rfam family "Bacterial small subunit ribosomal RNA", at positions 355 to 796 of the family's 1533-position model. The record is from RNAcentral.